This 519-nucleotide ribosomal RNA is filed under the name uncultured eukaryote. Its description in RNAcentral is "bacterial SSU rRNA". It matches the Rfam family "Eukaryotic small subunit ribosomal RNA", at positions 1161 to 1702 of the family's 1831-position model. The record is from RNAcentral.
AGGGCACCACCAGGAGUGGAGCCUGCGGCUUAAUUUGACUCAACACGGGAAAUCUUACCUGGCCCGGACACUGGAAGGAUUGACAGAUUGAGAGCUCUUUCUUGAUUCGGUGGGUGGUGGUGCAUGGCCGUUCUUAGUUGGUGGAGCGAUUUGUCUGGUUAAUUCCGAUAACGAACGAGACUCUGGCCUACUAAAUAGACUGUAGAUCCUUUUGGGGGCCUAUCCCAGCUUCUUAUACGGACGGGGGGCGGUCGGCCGGACGAUAUUGAGCAAUAACAGGGCUGUGGGGGCCUUAGAUGUUCUGGGCUGCACACCCGCUACACUGAAGGAAUCCCCUUGUGUUCCCUGCCCCAAAGGACUGGGAAACCCGUUAAACCUCCUUGGUGAUGGGGAUUGGGCAUUGCGAUUAUUCCCCAUGAACGAGGAAUUCCCAGUAUGGGCGAGUCAUAUUGUUGCUACUAUUAUUGCCCUGCCCUUUGUACACACCGGCAGUCGCUACUACCGAUCUAGUGAUGUAGC